GGGGUUGUAGCUCAGUGGUAGAGCGCUUGCCUAGCAUGCAUGAGGCACUAGGUUUGAUCCCCAGCACCACA
RNAcentral lists this transfer RNA (71 nucleotides) under Marmota monax (woodchuck). Its description in RNAcentral is "tRNA.Ala". It matches the Rfam family "tRNA". Rfam says of the family: Transfer RNA (tRNA) molecules are approximately 80 nucleotides in length. Their secondary structure includes four short double-helical elements and three loops (D, anti-codon, and T loops). Further hydrogen bonds mediate the characteristic L-shaped molecular structure. tRNAs have two regions of fundamental functional importance: the anti-codon, which is responsible for specific mRNA codon recognition, and the 3' end, to which the tRNAs corresponding amino acid is attached (by aminoacyl-tRNA synthetases). tRNAs cope with the degeneracy of the genetic code in two manners: having more than one tRNA (with a specific anti-codon) for a particular amino acid; and 'wobble' base-pairing, i.e. permitting non-standard base-pairing at the 3rd anti-codon position. Lineage: Eukaryota; Metazoa; Chordata; Mammalia; Rodentia; Sciuridae. The record is from RNAcentral.